UUCUUUUUUUUUUAAGAUUAAAAAAAAAUAUUGGAAUGAUACAGAGAUUGGCGUGUUCCCUGCACAGGGACGCCAUGCAAAUUUGUGAUGUGCUCCAGAUUUUC
This is a small nuclear RNA of Cavia porcellus (domestic guinea pig), 104 nucleotides long. The record is from Ensembl. NCBI's taxonomy places the organism in Eukaryota, Metazoa, Chordata, Mammalia, Rodentia, Caviidae.